Molecule: small RNA, 937 nt
Filed under: Rattus norvegicus (Norway rat)
Lineage: Eukaryota; Metazoa; Chordata; Mammalia; Rodentia; Muridae
Description: uncharacterized LOC102548329
Source: RNAcentral
AAUCCCCAGCCCCACACACAAUGCUUCUUGAAGGGUCAGAUGAGCAUCUGAGGUUCUGGGUCACUUUAAGGUGAGGCCUAGUCGUCUCUUUGAAGGAGGAGUGAGCCUAACUGGAAGUCGGUCACUGGAGGCAGACCUUGAGGAAUACAGCCCACCAGACAACCUCUCUGCUUCCUGUUCCAUCACAGUGCGAAGACGUAAGGAGUCUCAGUUUAGGCUCUGGCCCCUACGCAUCUUCCCAUGACCAUCCUUUGCCUAAGGAUGGACUGUGCAACCCCAAACUGGGAGCCCAAAGAAAUCAUCCUUAAAGCUGCUUCUGUCAGCCACCAAGGUUCUAGAACCCUGGCUUAUGUAGACAGUUGAGUCAGUCCAGCGUGGGCCCUGACGCUGCCUUUUCCUGAUUCAAAGCAGGAGCCCAUGAGAGACAAAGGAGCCAGGCACGUGGAUGUCUCGUGCAAAGACCUUACAGGUGGGAAAUUUAGAGACCCAAGGAGAGGCAUAGCAUGGCUGUGGUGGCAGAAAUGCACCGUGCACGUUGGGGGCUUCUUCCCCUGCCAGUGGUUCUGGAAACUCCGGGAGGUGGGACCUAUCUAGAGGAAGUACUUCACUGGGGACCGCUUGUUGUCUGCCAUGAUGGAGGGAAGAGCCACACAUCCAUGGAUCGCGCUGUCUGAAACCAGGAUCCCAAAUAAAUGUUUUUUCUCUUUACGUUGUUUCUGUCUAGUAUUUUGUCACAGGGAUUAGGUAGGAAGCAACUAAAAUAAAGACAAAGGCGGGGGUGGGGUGGGGAGACUCCAUUAGAGUGCGAGCCCCAUUAGACUUCCACAAACCAAACAAAGGCUUUGGCUUUGAGAGAGAUGGAAAUCCACUAGGGCGUUUUGAGCUGGCUCAGUCUUUACCUUUCUGGAUUAUAACUAGAGAUUUGUAAUACAUUCGA